AGAAAAGAAAGAAAAGGAAAAGGAAGAAGAAGAGGAAGAAGUCUGUCCAAUCUGUCUCGAUCCCCUUCCUCCUCCUUCUGGUUCCUCUUCCUCUUCUUCUUCGUCUUCCUC
RNAcentral lists this non-coding RNA (111 nucleotides) under Chromera velia. Lineage: Eukaryota; Chromeraceae. The record is from RNAcentral.